AGAGUUUGAUCCUGGCUCAGGACGAACGCUGGCGGCGUGCUUAACACAUGCAAGUCGAACGGAAAGGCCCUGCUUGCAGGGUGCUCGAGUGGCGAACGGGUGAGUAACACGUGGGUGAUCUGCCCCUUACUUUGGGAUAAGCCUGGGAAACUGGGUCUAAUACUGGAUAGGACCAUGCUGUAGGUGGUGUGGUGGAAAGAUUAGUUUCGGUAAGGGAUGAGCUCGCGGCCUAUCAGCUUGUUGGUGGGGUAAUGGCCUACCAAGGCGUCGACGGGUAGCCGGCCUGAGAGGGUGGACGGCCACAUUGGGACUGAGAUACGGCCCAGACUCCUACGGGAGGCAGCAGUGGGGAAUAUUGCACAAUGGGCGCAAGCCUGAUGCAGCGACGCCGCGUGGGGGAUGACGGCCUUCGGGUUGUAAACUCCUUUCAGCCAUGACGAAGCCUUCGGGUGACGGUAGUGGUAGAAGAAGCACCGGCUAACUACGUGCCAGCAGCCGCGGUAAUACGUAGGGUGCGAGCGUUGUCCGGAAUUACUGGGCGUAAAGAGCUCGUAGGUGGUCUGUCGCGUCAUUUGUGAAAGCCCGGGGCUUAACUCCGGGUUGGCAGGUGAUACGGGCAUGACUGGAGUACUGUAGGGGAGACUGGAAUUCCUGGUGUAGCGGUGAAAUGCGCAGAUAUCAGGAGGAACACCGGUGGCGAAGGCGGGUCUCUGGGCAGUAACUGACGCUGAGGAGCGAAAGCAUGGGUAGCGAACAGGAUUAGAUACCCUGGUAGUCCAUGCCGUAAACGGUGGGCGCUAGGUGUGGGUUUCCUUCCACGGGAUCCGUGCCGUAGCUAACGCAUUAAGCGCCCCGCCUGGGGAGUAGGCCGCAAGGCUAAACUCAAAGGAAUUGACGG
Molecule: ribosomal RNA, 898 nt
Filed under: uncultured bacterium
Lineage: Bacteria
Description: bacterial SSU rRNA
Rfam family: Bacterial small subunit ribosomal RNA
Source: RNAcentral